Apis laboriosa (Himalayan honeybee) is the source of this 1723-nucleotide long non-coding RNA. RefSeq lists it as uncharacterized. The record is from RefSeq and is a predicted model, not a curated record. The transcript has 3 exons. Lineage: Eukaryota; Metazoa; Arthropoda; Insecta; Hymenoptera; Apidae.
CCGAAUCACGAGGAUUAAAUUCCAUUUUCAUGACUGUGCGCCCGAGCUAUUUAUCAACAGAGGAAAAACGAGGGAAUCGCGGGAGCAGAUGGUGGCGCCACUAUUAAUAAAAAUAAUACAUAACCUACGUGUCGCGAAACAACCUCGUGAUCGUCGUGAACGCGAAAAACAGUGGGGUAUUAACACCAGUUUAUGUAAACGGGAAAGAGACAAGAGAGUUUCGAAAAUAGUCGUUCGCGACCCACCACCGCGUACGCAUUUAGACGGCCGCGCUAAACUUAGAUUGUUUUCUGAACAAACGGGUUAAGAGGGGGCCCGGAGAAGUGUGUAUGACACGAUGGAAAAUGCUUGGAAAGAAACACGUUUAUAUGGAGCGGCUCGAUUAACCGUGUAUGUGAAUUAAAAUCCGAGCGCAAAUGUUUACAUUGGCCAAUCAGAUUUCUGCCGGCUGUUUCGAAUUGUCUUUUUUUUUUUUUUUUGAAGAAUUACUUUUCUCUCUUUAUAGAGAGUUUAUUUAUCGAUAAUUGGUAAGAGGAAUUUUUAAUAGAUUACAUUAAACUACGUUAAAAUAGGAAUUUUCGAUCGAGAAAAUUUGCGGGAAAAAAAUUUAUAGGUUAUGGCACUCUUUCAAUCAUUUUAAAUUAACACAGGGGAAUGCUUUUAACCUAUAAUCCGAAUUUCUCUAUCUCCAAAUUCUCCAAAUAUUAUAUGUAAUAUAUAUCUAAAUUAGUAUGUAACAAUAUUUUAUAAAAAUAGCUGCGCUCGAUCGACAAUCGUUAUCGCUCUCGAUAAAUUUCAAUAGACAUCAAUUGCAAUUUUUGAAAUAACGAGUUAUCGACUUAAAAAUUUACAAACAUUACUUGUAAUAGAAACAAACAUUCACACUUUCUAUGCUAACUUUCGAAUAUAAAUUUCGACGGAACGCGACAGUUUGUGAAACUGGUUGUUUCGGCCGCUAAAAUUCUUAGUGGCGGUGUUUCGCGCGUAAAAAAAAAGAGAGAGAACAGAGCAUGUUCUCGCGGGUAAUUUAGUUGAUGGUGACUGCGCCCUCGAUGAAAGAGAGCGAGAAAGAGAGAAGCACCCUUAGGAACGAUUCGUGGCCUCCUCCGAGUCUCCGAGGUCGGUCCUGCCUGAGGAGGAACACGGACGGAACACUGUGUCUAGGAUGGAGAGCUCGUAAGAGGGCAUGAGCAUUGAAAGCGAACAAAUGGAAGGUGUUUCUUGGAAGCUUGGAUACUUAACGGAGAAAACCGUAGUGUUACACUGCUUGGUGACAUUUUAGCUGGUAUAAAACGAGAUCGUAAUGUUUCAAGAGAAUUAGAAAAGGAAAGGAAAAGGAAUGUUGUGGAAAAAACCUGUCUUACUAGUAUCUUUUAUGUUUUAUAUUGUUCUAUUAUGUUCUUGUAUUUUCAGAGUAAAUGAAAUCCAUGCGAGAUAUUAUGGACGGAUGAGAUGAGACGACUCGAUUUGACUCCGUUAUGGAUAAUCUUGAAAUCAGAAUUCGAGGAGGAUAACCUGGAAAUUAAAGAGUCUCGCUUGAGGAUUAAAAAAUUUCACUUAGAAGAGAUCUCCUUUCAAAAUUGAAGAUCAAUGGAUCUUAGAAUAGUUAAAAAAUUGAAAGGUCUCAAAAUUAGAGGAAUCAUGAGAUUAAUGGAUCCUAUAAAAAAUAAUUCUAAGAUUGAAGAAUUCUCUAAGAUAACCUGAAAAAAUAAAUCUAUUUGAA